UUCGGUUGGAAGGAAAGAUGUAUUGUUCUAGCGGCGGACGGGUGAGUAACGCGUGAGCAACCUGUCCCUUACAGGGGGAUAACACAGCGAAAGUUGUACUAAUACCGCAUGAGACCACAGUGAGACAUCUCACAGGGGUCAAAGGAGCAAUCCGGUAAGGGGUGGGCUCGCGUCCGAUUAGAUAGUUGGUGAGGUAACGGCCCACCAAGUCGACGAUCGGUAGCCGACCUGAGAGGGUGAUCGGCCACAUUGGGACUGAGACACGGCCCAAACUCCUACGGGAGGCAGCAGUGGGGAAUAUUGGGCAAUGGGGGAAACCCUGACCCAGCAACGCCGCGUGAGGGAAGAAGGUUUUCGGAUCGUAAACCUCUGUCCUUGGUGAAGAGGAAGAGACGGUAGCCAAGGAGGAAGCCCCGGCUAACUACGUGCCAGCAGCCGCGGUAAUACGUAGGGGGCGAGCGUUGUCCGGAAUGAUUGGGCGUAAAGGGCGCGUAGGCGGCCUGUUAAGUCUGGAGUGAAAGUCCUGCUUUUAAGGUGGGAAUUGCUUUGGAUACUGAUGGGCUUGAGUGCAGGAGAGGUAAGUGGAAUUCCCAGUGUAGCGGUGAAAUGCGUAGAGAUUGGGAGGAACACCAGUGGCGAAGGCGACUUACUGGACUGUAACUGACGCUGAGGCGCGAAAGUGUGGGGAGCAAACAGG
This 697-nucleotide ribosomal RNA is filed under the name uncultured rumen bacterium. RNAcentral describes it as "bacterial SSU rRNA". It matches the Rfam family "Bacterial small subunit ribosomal RNA", at positions 62 to 776 of the family's 1533-position model. The record is from RNAcentral.